This 253-nucleotide ribosomal RNA is filed under the name uncultured bacterium. RNAcentral's name for it is "partial 16S ribosomal RNA". It matches the Rfam family "Bacterial small subunit ribosomal RNA", at positions 524 to 776 of the family's 1533-position model. The record is from RNAcentral.
UACGGAGGGUGCGAGCGUUGUCCGGAAUCACUGGGCGUAAAGUGUGCGCAGGUGGCCGCGCAAGUCGAGUGUGAAAUCCCCGAGCUUAACUUGGGAAUUGCGCUCGAAACUACGUGGCUCGAGUGUGGCAGAGGAAGGUGGAAUUCCACGUGUAGCGGUGAAAUGCGUAGAGAUGUGGAGGAACACCGAUGGCGAAGGCAGCCUUCUGGGCCAACACUGACGCUCAUGCACGAAAGCGUGGGGAGCAAACAGG